This 251-nucleotide ribosomal RNA is filed under the name Streptomyces edwardsiae. RNAcentral's name for it is "Streptomyces sp. DSM 41636 partial 23S ribosomal RNA". It matches the Rfam family "Bacterial large subunit ribosomal RNA", at positions 387 to 623 of the family's 2925-position model. Lineage: Bacteria; Bacillati; Actinomycetota; Actinomycetes; Kitasatosporales; Streptomycetaceae. The record is from RNAcentral.
AGCGGCUCGUUUGAGAGACACCCAAGUAGCACGGGGCCCGAGAAAUCCCGUGUGAAUCUGGCGGGACCACCCGCUAAGCCUAAAUAUUCCCUGGUGACCGAUAGCGGAUAGUACCGUGAGGGACUGGUGAAAAGUACCGCGGGAGCGGAGUGAAAUAGUACCUGAAACCGUGUGCCUACAAGCCGUGGGAGCGUCGGACAUCAAGCUUGCUUGGUGUCUCGUGACUGCGUGCCUUUUGAAGAAUGAGCCUG